AGUGGGAUAGCUGGGUUAAAUGAUGGUUUCAUUUCAAGUUUUCUAAGGAAUCUCCCUACUGCUUUCCAGAGUGGUUGUACCAAUUUGCAGUCCCACCAGCAAU
RNAcentral lists this microRNA precursor (103 nucleotides) under Marmota monax (woodchuck). Lineage: Eukaryota; Metazoa; Chordata; Mammalia; Rodentia; Sciuridae. The record is from RNAcentral.